CCAAUAGCGUAUAUUAAAGUUGUUGCAGUUAAAAAGCUCGUAGUUGAAUUUCGGGGUUAGCAGGUCGGUCGUGCCAUCGGUAUGAACUGGUCUCGCUGAUCCCUCCCUCUUGACGAACUGUGAUGCCAUUAAUUUGGUGUCGCAGGGAAUCAGGACUGUUACUUUGAAAAAAUUAGAGUGUUUAAAGCAGGCUCACGCUUGAAUACAUUAGGAUGGAAUAAUGAAAUAGGACGUUUGAUCCUAUUUUGUUGGUUUCUAGGAUUGACGUAAUGAUUAAUAGGGAUAGUUGGGGGCAUUAGUAUUCAAUUGUCAGAGGUGAAAUUCUUGGAUUUAUUGAAGACUAACUACUGCGAAAGCAUUUGCCAAGGAUGUUUUCAUUAAUCAAGAACGAAAGUUAGGGGAUCGAAGACGAUCAGAUACCGUCGUAGUCUUAACCAUAAACUAUGCCGACUAGGGAUCGGAUGAUGUUAAUUUUUUAAUGACUCAUUCGGCGCCUUACG
RNAcentral lists this ribosomal RNA (500 nucleotides) under uncultured Glomeromycotina. Its description in RNAcentral is "partial small subunit ribosomal RNA". It matches the Rfam family "Eukaryotic small subunit ribosomal RNA", at positions 591 to 1092 of the family's 1831-position model. Lineage: Eukaryota; Fungi; Glomeromycota. The record is from RNAcentral.